GAAAAAGAUAGCCUUGCUUUUCACUCUGCCUCAUGAUACAGAAAGCCACAACUGAAAAAAAUGCAGACUUUGGAAAAUUGGGAUAAUAAAAUCUUAUUGAAAAAAUGGUCAUUAAUUUGUUCAGGGUUGAGAUUUGCCUUAGACCUUGUGUAAUGAAUUCUGUGUGGAAGGUAAUACCAAAUGUUACUGCUCUGAUGCUGUGCUUUAGAGCUUUAUCCCUCCUCAACAUUGCUGCCCAAGGGUAAACUACAGUACCAUGGGUCUACCCCAAGCUGCUUGCAGCAGGAACAACCUUUAACCCUGCUCCCAAGGGAGAGGACUUGUCCUGUACGAUUUUUCAGUCAGGAUGUGGUACUGCAGAUGCUGCUGAAAGAAUGACCACUUGAAAGAUCAUGAGAUCUAUGUAGUGUUUCAAAAGCUAUCUGCUUGCUCAGGCAAAUGAAAUAUAUGAAAAGAGGUCAUGCUGCAUGUUAUUAUAUUGUUUUUACAAAACCAGAGUAUUUUUUUCAAACUAGGUAAACUGCUGUACAUGUGUUUUAUCAUCUGAGUAAUAUAUAGCCCCACUGGCACUUUUUAACUUUCUGCAUAUUUUCAACUGCUGCAGAAUUUUAAAUCCUAUCUAUUUAAUAUAGUUUUCACUGUUUGAAUCCUUGAAAAAAAACUUGAAGUGUUCCCUGUACUUACACUUUUGAGAGCUGAAGCUGUGCCAGAAUGCCUUCACAGAUCCUGAAAAUGGUAAUUAUAGAAAUGGAAGUUAGAUGUAUGCACCAGGAACCUGGGGAGCUGCAAUGUUUCUAGCUGCAAAUAGAUCCAUGGCCUAGGAAAUUUUAGCGUUGUGAUUCUUGAUAACAGAGAGGCAUGUAAGAAAUGUGGACCAAAGCAAGUACUUUUCCUCCUUUUCCCAUUAUUCUUGUUACUUGCAGUAUUACUUUCGGUCUCACAUGGCUUCCCAGAGGAGAACCCCCACCUAAGUCUCUUACUGGUCUGUAAUCUCUACAGUUUUAUGUGGCAACUUGAGCUGUGGACGGUGAAGAGAAAGAAGGGCUAUACUGGGGAUAACAGGACCAAAAGGCUGCUGGAAUAUUUUUGACUUGGUUGUUCCCGGCGUGUGGCAGCUUUGCAUGUAACCAGAGCACUUCUCCUGUGCUGUAUAUAGCUGGUGCAGCAAGUGCUGCCUCUCCAAAGG
RNAcentral lists this long non-coding RNA (1186 nucleotides) under Cyanistes caeruleus (blue tit). RNAcentral describes it as "lncRNA (ENSCCEG00000018032.1)". The record is from RNAcentral. Lineage: Eukaryota; Metazoa; Chordata; Aves; Passeriformes; Paridae.